Molecule: transfer RNA, 73 nt
Filed under: Pleurotus djamor
Lineage: Eukaryota; Fungi; Basidiomycota; Agaricomycetes; Agaricales; Pleurotaceae
Also listed under: 5 other names
Description: tRNA-Val
Rfam family: tRNA
About the family: Transfer RNA (tRNA) molecules are approximately 80 nucleotides in length.
Source: RNAcentral
GGUUCAAUGGUCUAGUGGUUAUGAUUUCUGUCUUACACACAGAAGGUCCCCAGUUCGAUCCUGGGUUGAACCA